CUCGACAAAGGCAAACCUCCCGUGAGGGAGGGACGCAAAGCCACGGGACUUCUGUGACGAAGUCAGCCGAGCCACCGAAG
RNAcentral lists this non-coding RNA (80 nucleotides) under Deinococcus sp. RNAcentral describes it as "c-di-GMP sequence". It matches the Rfam family "c-di-GMP-I-GGC riboswitch aptamer". The record is from RNAcentral. Lineage: Bacteria; Thermotogati; Deinococcota; Deinococci; Deinococcales; Deinococcaceae. RNAcentral also lists the same sequence under 1 other name.